Molecule: ribosomal RNA, 466 nt
Filed under: uncultured bacterium
Lineage: Bacteria
Description: partial 16S ribosomal RNA
Rfam family: Bacterial small subunit ribosomal RNA
Source: RNAcentral
GACGAACGCUGGCGGCGUGCUUAACACAUGCAAGUCGAACGGAAAGGCCCUGCUUUUGUGGGGUGCUCGAGUGGCGAACGGGUGAGUAACACGUGAGUAACCUGCCCUUGACUUUGGGAUAACUUCAGGAAACUGGGGCUAAUACCGGAUAGGAGCUCCUGCUGCAUGGUGGGGGUUGGAAAGUUUCGGCGGUUGGGGAUGGACUCGCGGCUUAUCAGCUUGUUGGUGGGGUAGUGGCUUACCAAGGCUUUGACGGGUAGCCGGCCUGAGAGGGUGACCGGCCACAUUGGGACCGAGAUACGGCCCAGACUCCUACGGGAGGCGGCAGUGGGGAAUAUUGCACAAUGGGCGGAAGCCUGAUGCAGCAACGCCGCGCGGGAUGACGGCCUUCGGGUUGUAAACCGCUUUCGCCUGUGACGAAGCGUGAGUGACGGUAAUGGGUAAAGAAGCACCGGCUAACUACGUG